RNAcentral lists this ribosomal RNA (253 nucleotides) under uncultured bacterium. RNAcentral's name for it is "partial 16S ribosomal RNA". It matches the Rfam family "Bacterial small subunit ribosomal RNA", at positions 524 to 776 of the family's 1533-position model. The record is from RNAcentral.
UACAGAGGGGGCAAGCGUUGUUCGGAAUUACUGGGCGUAAAGGGCGCGUAGGCGGCCUUCUAAGUCGAACGUGAAAUCCCCGGGCUCAACCCGGGAACUGCGUCCGAUACUGGCAGGCUUGAGUCCGGGAGAGGGAUGCGGAAUUCCAGGUGUAGCGGUGAAAUGCGUAGAUAUCUGGAGGAACACCGGUGGCGAAGGCGGCAUCCUGGACCGGCAUUGACGCUGAGGCGCGAAAGCCAGGGGAGCAAACGGG